RNAcentral lists this ribosomal RNA (867 nucleotides) under uncultured archaeon. RNAcentral describes it as "bacterial SSU rRNA". It matches the Rfam family "Archaeal small subunit ribosomal RNA", at positions 125 to 995 of the family's 1478-position model. The record is from RNAcentral.
GAUAACCCCCGGAAACUGGGGAUAAUACCGGAUAACGCAUAUGUGCUGGAAUGCUUUAUGCGUAAAACGGAUUCGUCCGCCCAAGGAUGGGUCUGCGGCCUAUCAGGUAGUAGUGGGUGUAAUGUACCUACUAGCCAACAACGGGUACGGGUUGUGAGAGCAAGAGCCCGGAGAUGGAUUCUGAGACAUGAAUCCAGGCCCUACGGGGCGCAGCAGGCGCGAAAACUUUACAAUGCGGGAAACCGUGAUAAGGGAACACCGAGUGCCAGCAUCAUAUGCUGGCUGUCCAGAUGUGUAAAGUACAUCUGUUAGCAAGGGCCGGGCAAGACCGGUGCCAGCCGCCGCGGUAACACCGGCGGCCCGAGUGGUGACCGUUAUUAUUGGGUCUAAAGGGUCCGUAGCCGGUUUGGUCAGUCCUCCGGGAAAUCUGAUAGCUUAACUGUUAGGCUUUCGGGGGAUACUGCCAGGCUUGGAACCGGGAGAGGUAAGAGGUACUACAGGGGUAGGAGUGAAAUCUUGUAAUCCCUGUGAGACCACCUGUGGCGAAGGCGUCUUACCAGAACGGGUUCGACGGUGAGGGACGAAAGCUGGGGGCACGAACCGGAUUAGAUACCCGGGUAGUCCCAGCCGUAAACUAUGCUCGCUAGGUGUCAUGCAUGGCGCGACCGUGUCUGGUGCCGCAGGAAGCCGUGAAGCGAGCCACCUGGGAAAUACGGCCGCAAGGCUGAAACUUAAAGGAAUUGGCGGGGGAGCACACAACGGGUGGAGCCUGCGGUUUAUUGGACUCAACGCCGGACAACUCACCGGGGACGACAGCAAAUGUAGGCCAGGCUGAAGACCUUGCCUGAAUCGCUGAGAGAGGUGCAU